Molecule: long non-coding RNA, 421 nt
Filed under: Homo sapiens (human)
Lineage: Eukaryota; Metazoa; Chordata; Mammalia; Primates; Hominidae
Description: HSALNT0237464
Source: RNAcentral
CUAGGGCAACCCCGGGAUACAGAAAGCCCUCUGUCCUUGCAGUAAGACAGAGGGUCUAAUUGAGCUGAUUAACACAAGACGAGUGCAGAUGGCUAAGUUGAAAGAGGACACUGUAACACAUGCCCACUGGUGCUUCAGGAGCUGUAAACACUCAGCCCUAGAUGAUGCCGUGAGGUUGGAGCCCACGUUCCCCACGACCUGCCUAUCUGCAUUCUCCCCCUAGGGGGUUGAACUGCAGGGCGCUGAAGAAGCCAGCCAGUCCCCAUGUCACACACCCUGUGAGGGGAAUAAGGAAACUCUUCCUGUUUCAACUGGGGCCUUGCCUGAGAUCCCGGAAGGGAGCUCGAUGGACAGCGCCAAAGCACGGAGGCAACUGCAAGUUGCUGGCCAGGGCCACUCUCUGGUGAAACAGAAAGGUUUC